GAUUGAACGCUGGCGGCAUGCCUUACACAUGCAAGUCGAACGGUAACGCGGGGCAACCUGGCGACGAGUGGCGAACGGGUGAGUAAUAUAUCGGAACGUGCCCAGUUGUGGGGGAUAACUGCUCGAAAGAGCAGCUAAUACCGCAUACGACCUGAGGGUGAAAGCGGGGGAUCGCAAGACCUCGCGCAAUUGGAGCGGCCGAUAUCAGAUUAGGUAGUUGGUGGGGUAAAGGCCUACCAAGCCGACGAUCUGUAGCUGGUCUGAGAGGACGACCAGCCACACUGGGACUGAGACACGGCCCAGACUCCUACGGGAGGCAGCAGUGGGGAAUUUUGGACAAUGGGGGCAACCCUGAUCCAGCCAUGCCGCGUGCGGGAAGAAGGCCUUCGGGUUGUAAACCGCUUUUGUCAGGGAAGAAAAGACUCCUACUAAUACCUGGG
Molecule: ribosomal RNA, 440 nt
Filed under: rape rhizosphere bacterium m9092
Lineage: Bacteria
Description: bacterial SSU rRNA
Rfam family: Bacterial small subunit ribosomal RNA
Source: RNAcentral